GAUUCGGCUCCAACGAGUUGGCUGUGCGAACACUCAGAAGAUUUGGCUCAGGAGAUUGAGCAGUCAGCAUUCCUUCCUUCUUAGUAAAAACUCCAGGACUACGGGCCGAGUAAACGCUCAAAAG
This 124-nucleotide small RNA is filed under the name Caenorhabditis elegans. RNAcentral describes it as "Unclassified non-coding RNA F32H2.17". Lineage: Eukaryota; Metazoa; Nematoda; Chromadorea; Rhabditida; Rhabditidae. The record is from RNAcentral.